This 472-nucleotide long non-coding RNA is filed under the name Equus caballus (horse). RNAcentral describes it as "lncRNA (ENSECAG00000043484.2)". The record is from RNAcentral. Lineage: Eukaryota; Metazoa; Chordata; Mammalia; Perissodactyla; Equidae.
CUCAGGAUAAAAGGGAGUCACAGACAUAGAACAAUUGGGAGUCUCAUGGGGAGAGGACGCUUUGCCUCAGACCGGACAAUUGGCACUCCCACCUGCCGUACAAACUAUUGGGACUUCCCUGGCUGAUUGUGGUGUGGAUGUUGCUACACAACGUUCCUGAGAGUAUUUAUUCUGAGACAAAAAUGCCAGUCACAUCUUUAAGACCUUACUUAACAAGGAACUAACGAGAAAACAAGUUGGAAGCUUUUAGGUAAAGUCCAGCGCUUCAUUUAUACCAAGUGUGUGAGAAGAGGUCAGUAGAGAUUAUCUAAUCCUGAAUCAAUCGUGACAUCAUCCAUUCAAGUCCAAGACACAUUCUCUCACCUGCUGCAUUGGUUUUAAUGCAAAAAAAAAAACCCCAACCUAAAAAGGGCAAAUGGGAGAUAACAAACCUAAAUGUCCGUUGCUAUGGAAAUGGAUAAAUAAAUGUGGA